This 459-nucleotide ribosomal RNA is filed under the name Allium vineale. Its description in RNAcentral is "eukaryotic LSU rRNA". The stretch from base 328 to 459 matches the Rfam family "Eukaryotic large subunit ribosomal RNA", at positions 1 to 132 of the family's 3401-position model. Lineage: Eukaryota; Viridiplantae; Streptophyta; Magnoliopsida; Asparagales; Amaryllidaceae. The record is from RNAcentral.
UGCAGAAUCCCGUGAACCAUCGAGUCUUUGAAUGCAAGUUGCGCACGAGGCCAUUAGGUCGAGUGCACGUCUGUUUGGGCGUCAUGUAAAGCGUCAUUCCAAUCUCCCACAGGCAUCGAAUCCAGUCUGGGUGAAGGUGGAUAUGGAGAAUGACCUUCCGUGCUUUUACGGUAGGUUUAAGUGAUUGUCGUUGCCAAGGUAUAUGCGAGGCGAAUGGUGUGUCGAGUUAACGCACGAUGUCUCUAAUCGCGUCCGUGAGACCUAGGCAUGAUGUGACAAAUAAUCGUAACCAUUGUCGAUGUUUGCUUUGAUAGCAAGCUUGGACCAUGACCUCAGAUCAGACGGGGCGACCCGCUGAGUUUAAGCAUAUCAAUAAGCGGAGGAGAAGAAACUUACGAAGAUUCCCUUAGUAACGGCGAGCGAAUCGGGAAAAGCCCAGCUUGAAAAUUAGGUGGCUAC